Molecule: ribosomal RNA, 838 nt
Filed under: uncultured Neisseria sp.
Lineage: Bacteria; Pseudomonadati; Pseudomonadota; Betaproteobacteria; Neisseriales; Neisseriaceae
Description: bacterial SSU rRNA
Rfam family: Bacterial small subunit ribosomal RNA
Source: RNAcentral
UGAACGCUGGCGGCAUGCUUACACAUGCAAGUCGGACGGCAGCACAGAGAAGCUUGCUUCUUGGGUGGCGAGUGGCGAACGGGUGAGUAAUAUAUCGGAACGUACCGAGCAGUGGGGGACAACUAAUCGAAAGAUUAGCUAAUACCGCAUAUUUUCUGAGGAAGAAAGCAGGGGGCCAUUUGGCCUUGCGCUGUUUGAGCGGCCGAUAUCUGAUUAGCUGGUUGGUGGGGUAAAGGCCUACCAAGGCGACGAUCAGUAGCGGGUCUGAGAGGAUGAUCCGCCACACUGGGACUGAGACACGGCCCAGACUCCUACGGGAGGCAGCAGUGGGGAAUUUUGGACAAUGGGCGCAAGCCUGAUCCAGCCAUGCCGCGUGUCUGAAGAAGGCCUUCGGGUUGUAAAGGACUUUUGUCAGGGAAGAAAAGGAUAGGGUUAAUACCCCUGUCUGAUGACGGUACCUGAAGAAUAAGCACCGGCUAACUACGUGCCAGCAGCCGCGGUAAUACGUAGGGUGCGAGCGUUAAUCGGAAUUACUGGGCGUAAAGCGGGCGCAGACGGUUACUUAAGCAGGAUGUGAAAUCCCCGGGCUCAACCUGGGAACUGCGUUCUGAACUGGGUGACUAGAGUGUGUCAGAGGGAGGUAGAAUUCCACGUGUAGCAGUGAAAUGCGUAGAGAUGUGGAGGAAUACCGAUGGCGAAGGCAGCCUCCUGGGAUAACACUGACGUUCAUGCCCGAAAGCGUGGGUAGCAAACAGGAUUAGAUACCCUGGUAGUCCACGCCCUAAACGAUGUCGAUUAGCUGUUGGGCAGCAUGACUGCUUAGUAGCGAAGCUAACGC